This 253-nucleotide ribosomal RNA is filed under the name uncultured bacterium. RNAcentral describes it as "partial 16S ribosomal RNA". It matches the Rfam family "Bacterial small subunit ribosomal RNA", at positions 524 to 776 of the family's 1533-position model. The record is from RNAcentral.
UACGUAGGGUGCGAGCGUUGUCCGGAAUUAUUGGGCGUAAAGAGCUCGUAGGCGGUUUGUCGCGUCGGCCGUGAAAACUUGGGGCUUAACCCCAAGCCUGCGGUCGAUACGGGCAGACUUGAGUUCGGCAGGGGAGACUGGAAUUCCUGGUGUAGCGGUGAAAUGCGCAGAUAUCAGGAGGAACACCGGUGGCGAAGGCGGGUCUCUGGGCCGAUACUGACGCUGAGGAGCGAAAGCGUGGGGAGCGAACAGG